AACGAACGCUGGCGGCAUGCCUAACACAUGCAAGUCGAACGAUGCUUUCGGGCAUAGUGGCGCACGGGUGCGUAACGCGUGGGAAUCUGCCCUUGGGUUCGGAAUAACAGUGAGAAAUUGCUGCUAAUACCGGAUGAUGUCUUCGGACCAAAGAUUUAUCGCCCAGGGAUGAGCCCGCGUAGGAUUAGCUAGUUGGUGGGGUAAUGGCCUACCAAGGCGACGAUCCUUAGCUGGUCUGAGAGGAUGAUCAGCCACACUGGGACUGAGACACGGCCCAGACUCCUACGGGAGGCAGCAGUGGGGAAUAUUGGACAAUGGGCGCAAGCCUGAUCCAGCAAUGCCGCGUGAGUGGUGAAGGCCUUAGGGUUGUAAAGCUCUUUUACCCGGGAUGAUAAUGACAGUACCGGGAGAAUAAGCUCCGGCUAACUCCGUG
RNAcentral lists this ribosomal RNA (433 nucleotides) under uncultured bacterium. RNAcentral describes it as "partial 16S ribosomal RNA". It matches the Rfam family "Bacterial small subunit ribosomal RNA", at positions 29 to 507 of the family's 1533-position model. The record is from RNAcentral.